GCGAGUGAAGCGGCAAAAGCUCAAAUUUGAAAUCCCCCGGGAAUUGUAAUUUGAAGAGAUUUGGGUCCGGCCGGCAGGGGUUAAGUCCACUGGAAAGUGGCGCCACAGAGGGUGACAGCCCCGUGAACCCCUUUAACGCCCUCAUCCCAGAUCUCCAAGAGUCGAGUUGUUUGGGAAUGCAGCUCUAAGUGGGUGGUAAAUUCCAUCUAAAGCUAAAUACCGGCGAGAGACCGAUAGCGAACAAGUACAGUGAUGGAAAGAUGAAAAGCACUUUGAAAAGAGAGUGAAAAAGUACGUGAAAUUGUUGAAAGGGAAGGGCUUGCAAGCAGACACUUAACUGGGCCAGCAUCGGGGCGGCGGGAAACAAAACCACCGGGGAAUGUACCUUUCGAGGAUUAUAACCCCGGUCUCUAUUUCCUUGUUGCCCCGAGGCCUGCAAUCUAAGGAUGCUGGCGUAAUGGUUGCAAGUCGCCCGUCUUGAACCACGGACCA
This 492-nucleotide ribosomal RNA is filed under the name Metschnikowia sp. (in: budding yeasts & allies). Its description in RNAcentral is "Metschnikowia sp. (in: Fungi) partial large subunit ribosomal RNA". It matches the Rfam family "Eukaryotic large subunit ribosomal RNA", at positions 89 to 668 of the family's 3401-position model. The record is from RNAcentral. Lineage: Eukaryota; Fungi; Ascomycota; Pichiomycetes; Serinales; Metschnikowiaceae.